CCAAUAGCGUAUAUUAAAGUUGUUGCAGUUAAAAAGCUCGUAGUUGAAUUUCGGGAUUAGUACGUUGGUCGUGCCUUGGUACGUACUGGUGUAACUGAUUCCUCCCUUCUGACGAACCGUUAUGCCAUUAAUUUGGUGUGGCGGGAAAUCAGGACUGUUACUUUGAAAAAAUUAGAGUGUUUAAAGCAGGCUCGCGCUUGAAUACAUUAGCAUGGAAUAAUGAAAUAGGACGUUGAUCCUAUUUUGUUGGUUUCUAGGAUCGACGUAAUGAUUAAUAGGGAUAGUUGGGGGCAUUAGUAUUCAAUUGUCAGAGGUGAAAUUCUUGGAUUUAUUGAAGACUAACUACUGCGAAAGCAUUUGCCAAGGAUGUUUUCAUUAAUCAAGAACGAAAGUUAGGGGAUCGAAGACGAUCAGAUACCGUCGUAGUCUUAACCAUAAACUAUGCCGACUAGGGAUCGGAUGAUGUUAAUUUUUUAAUGACUCAUUCGGCGCCUUACG
This 498-nucleotide ribosomal RNA is filed under the name uncultured Glomeromycotina. RNAcentral's name for it is "partial small subunit ribosomal RNA". It matches the Rfam family "Eukaryotic small subunit ribosomal RNA", at positions 591 to 1092 of the family's 1831-position model. The record is from RNAcentral. Lineage: Eukaryota; Fungi; Glomeromycota.